CUUCUUUCCUUCUCUUCAAUCAGCGGCGGCAGACUGGAGGAUCUAAAGCGAGACAAGACAGAGAGAUAGUGCAGAGAGAGGGGGGAGAGAGAGAGAGAGAGAGAGAGCAAGAGAGAGGCUGAGACACACGACACACGCCACCUAUCUUCACACGGAGGGAUAAUGGACGAGUGCGCAUCUCAGGGGAAGCGUCCCAAGUUUGUUACCUUUUUUUUAUUCCUUUUUUUACUUAUAUAAAAAAAAAAUUAUUUAUCAAUAUGACACGUCUAGUCUUAAAUCUAGAUUAUUGUAGAUAGUUUUUUAUAUUUUCUAAAUAAUAAUAAUAAUAAUUAGAACACAAAACAAGUAGUUGCACGUAUGUUUUUAUUUAUUCUUCUUUCUUUAUGUGGGUUGAAGAAGUCGUUCCUGGAGUUUAAAACAGGAUUUAUUUCUACACUGAUUGGGGUUAGUGUGCGGUUUGGGACGGAGCCUGGGGGUCCAUCGUGCUGCCUUCAUGAGCGACACGAUUUGCGGUAAAAUGCGAGUUUCUGAUUGAACAGCGUCCCGUUUAAGUCGCAAGAAAAUAAUCAUUUAAAAAAGGAGAUAAAUUAUUAGGAUGAUUAAAUGUACAAUUUGGGGGCUCUGGUGGAAUCAGUGUGCUCUUCAUGGAGGAGAAAUCCAGUGGAUUGUGAUUGUACUUUCCAGAUGUGACCGGGUUGAGUAUGUAUUUUAUAUUAUUAUCAUCAUUUUUAUUAUAAUUAUUAUAAAUAAUAAUAAUUAUUAUAAUUGUAACCUGCAUUUACUAUUCUCUCAUGUCAUGUAAAUACAUUUUUCUUUUUUCUUUCUCUUUUUUUUAAAGUUAAUUAUGUUAUUAUUACGCAAAUGUUUAUUUUUAUUUGUAAUCGAUUUAUUAAGAGAGAGAAAAAAGUGCCCUGUGCGCGUGAACCGGGGGGUGUGAUGAGGGUGGG
Molecule: long non-coding RNA, 947 nt
Organism: Silurus meridionalis
Lineage: Eukaryota; Metazoa; Chordata; Actinopteri; Siluriformes; Siluridae
Exons: 3
Source: RefSeq, a predicted model, not a curated record